UGUGUUAUGUUUGUGUGUGUGUGUGUGUGUGUGUGUAUGUGUGUGUGUGUGUGUCACACACAUGCACACACACACGCACACACACACGCACACACACACACACAUGUGUGUAUAUAUAUAUAUAUAUAUAUAUAUAUAUAUAUAUAUAUAUAUAUACAUACACACACACAUAUAUAU
Protopterus annectens (West African lungfish) is the source of this 177-nucleotide small nucleolar RNA. RefSeq annotates it as small nucleolar RNA SNORA23. NCBI's taxonomy places the organism in Eukaryota, Metazoa, Chordata, Ceratodontiformes, Protopteridae. The record is from RefSeq and is a predicted model, not a curated record. The transcript has a single exon.